Molecule: unclassified non-coding RNA, 211 nt
Filed under: Hevea brasiliensis (rubber tree)
Lineage: Eukaryota; Viridiplantae; Streptophyta; Magnoliopsida; Malpighiales; Euphorbiaceae
Source: RNAcentral
AGAAUAUUAGAUUUACAGCAUACAACAUAUUUUGUUUAUCAUGAUCAAGAAGACUGCCACUUUCGAUGAUGAGUUCGUAUAGUUGUUUUAUGAUUUAUGGUUAUUUAAUAGGAAUUUAGGAAUAUGGUUUAAGGCGUUUUGAUAUCUUUAGAAUUAUUGCUAUUUGAAUUUCAAUUACAUAGGUGGUGGAAUUCUAAUUCUUUUAUGUUAU